UGGGGAAUAUUGGACAAUGGGGGAAACCCUGAUCCAGCAAUGCCGCGUGUAUGAUGAAGGUCUUCGGAUUGUAAAGUACUUUUAUAGGUGACGAUGAUGACGGUAACCUAUGAAUAAGCUCCGGCUAACUUCGUGCCAGCAGCCGCGGUAAUACGAAGGGAGCUAGCGUUGUUCGGAAUAACUGGGCGUAAAGGGCGCGUAGGUGGGUGAGUGCGUUAGAUGUGAAAGCCCCGGGCUUAACCUGGGAAUGGCAUUUAAUACGGCUCAUCUUGAGUGCGAGAGGGGGAAGCGGAAUGGCGAGUGGAGCAGUGAAAUGCAUUGAUAUUCGCUAGAACACCAGAGGCGAAGGCGGCUUUCUGGCUCGCAACUGACACUAAGGCGCGAAAGCGUGGGGAGCAAA
RNAcentral lists this ribosomal RNA (400 nucleotides) under uncultured bacterium. Its description in RNAcentral is "bacterial SSU rRNA". It matches the Rfam family "Bacterial small subunit ribosomal RNA", at positions 355 to 772 of the family's 1533-position model. The record is from RNAcentral.